GAUGAACGCUGGCGGCGUGCCUAACACAUGCAAGUCGAGCGAACAGACGAGGAGCUUGCGCCGCGGACGUGAGCCGCGGACGGGUGAGUAACGCGUGGAAAACGUACCUAUAAGAGUGGGAUAACUUCGGGAAAGGGGAGAUAAUACCGGAGAAUAUAUUGAAGCGCGGGGGGGAAUAGUGAAAGACGGUGUUGCUGGAUGGAAUAGAGGGAUACGAGCCGCAUUAGCUAGUAGGUACGGUAAAAGGUUACGAAGGGUACGAUGCGUAGCCGAGCUGAGAGGGUGAUCGGCCACACUGGAACUGGGCCGCGCUCCAGGCUCCUACGGUAGGCCGCAGUCUGCAACCUUCCGCAAUGGGCGAAAGCUUGACGCAGCAGCCCCGCGUGUGUGAUGACGGUCUCCCGAUCGUAAAACCCUGUUACUGGGGAAGAACCACUUUCUACGUAACUGUGCCCGUCUUGACGGUACCUAAUCAGAAAGCACCGGCUAACUACGUG
RNAcentral lists this ribosomal RNA (497 nucleotides) under uncultured bacterium. Its description in RNAcentral is "partial 16S ribosomal RNA". It matches the Rfam family "Bacterial small subunit ribosomal RNA", at positions 28 to 507 of the family's 1533-position model. The record is from RNAcentral.